GAGGAAUGGAAAUGGGGGGUAGAGGCUGGGUGGGGGUGGGGGGGAGGCAGGGUGGACUUGAGGAUUCCACUUCCUGCCGCUGGCAAUGCUGGCGGGACACUCUGCAAAGAUGUUCGGCUGCCACCCUCUGGCAGGCUGGGUCUUCAGAAAUCAGCUCUGUUACUUGCAUGGUCUCUGAUGGAAAUUGCUGGGAUUUGUGGGCCACUCUCUAAGCAGGCACACUUCUGGGGUGCCCCCGGGCAGUGAGGCCCAGAUCCAACCUCUCGUGGUGGCAUGCUAGUAUUUAGGGGGCCCACUUCCCCUCUAUUUCAUCUCUGCAAACACCCUGGAGCGCAGGGCCAGAACACAUGGGCUCACAAUUCCCAACUAGGAGCUGCCACCCGGGGUGGGGGAAGGGGGCAGCCCAAACUCGGGCCAUGAUGGUCAGCUGAGCACACACUUAGCAAGGGGCCAUGUCUCUGCCUCAGAGCUGUGCCCAGGCCACCCUUCUCUUCUUUGAAGACCCUCAGCCCUGGGCCAUGGUUGGACUGACACGGGGACAGCUAUAACCCACCACCACCACCGUCAUUGCAUGCCCGCCAAGGACCCUGCUCAUCACCUGUCGUGUGGGGUGGGGGCCUCCGAAAUAACUCCGCCAGCGCCACGAGGCUGGGGGCACUGGGUUAGGGAGGGGGCAGGGUGGGUGGUGAGGGCCUCCAGGUUGUGCCUGAGCCCCCAGACCCAUGUCCCUCACCCCAUAAGUGUCAGGGUGGUGAUAUUGUGGCUGCCCUGGAAUCGAGGGAGAGGUACAGUGUGUAGCUGAACCUCACUGAAGCCUGUCCCACCGACCAGGAGGGCACGCCGCCCUGGGGUGGGGGGGGCAGGCGGCCGACCUGGGAUGGUUGAGCAGUUUCUGGAGGCAGAAUCAGAGUUUGGGCACAGCCUGCCAGGUGAGGGCAGAGGCAAACAGGCCAGGGAGAGGGAGGAGCAAGGCCCUGUCCCUCUCCACCUGUCUUCUCCCAGCAUUGUCUGCAGAGGCAUAACCAACAGGCUGGGGAGGAGACGGGAGGUCAAGAGAGCUUCAU
RNAcentral lists this long non-coding RNA (1064 nucleotides) under Ursus americanus (American black bear). RNAcentral describes it as "lncRNA (ENSUAMG00000006892.1)". Lineage: Eukaryota; Metazoa; Chordata; Mammalia; Carnivora; Ursidae. The record is from RNAcentral.